AGAGCAAAGGGAAGGGCACAGAGAGUGUGCAGGGUGGUCCUUGUCCCUGCCCAAGCUGCAAGAGGCUCUGCGAAGGUCCCUCCUGCCCCUGUCCACCUUGCACAGUCCUAGCCGGGGGAGGAGGGGAGAAAUCUGGCGUGCCAGGAGCUGGCAACUGCCCAGCCCUUCCUGGAUGUGGGACUGAGGAGUCCGUCCUGAACCGAAGCAUGAUCCUGUUAGCUCUUCCAGCUCUCCAGGCGCCAACGACCAUAUGGUCUCGGUGACCCAGGCCUGCCCAGACGGAAGCCAUUCAGACCCAGAGCCACGUGUCCUGGGUCUCCCUGCCCCGGGCCACCCGCCACCACACCCCAGAGCUUGCUCACCACCGGGAGGCGCUCUUGUCCUGGACCAGCCUAGCCUGGGUUGGGACCUCCAGCCAGGCCAGUCAGCGAGCCACCAGCCCCACCAGAGUGGAAUGACAGCCAGGACUCAGCUGGCAGCGGGCAGGAGGCCAGUCUUGUGGUGAUAUCCCAGCCGCAACUCUCUUCCUGCCCCUCCCCUGUCCUGACGGCAGCCCCCAGCUCUGUAGCUGAGCCAGGCUUGCGGGCCACGCGGGGUCCCGGGUUUAGGCACCCCACCCCUAUCUGUUCCAACAGACUCUCCCUCUCAGCCCAUGGCACAGAUGGCAUCUGAGCUAGCAGCACGCUGCUGCUUCAGGCAGGGGUUGAUAGGAGGUCCAGGUGGAGGAGUGGGUUCUCAGGACUGCCUUGGCCCCCCUGCACCGCUGCCCUCCUUCUCCCUGCCUCUCAGGUGCCUCCCGGCUCCCUGGGACUCACUCCCUCACCUUGGCCUCUGCCUGGGAUGCUACCCGGCCACCCCCACCAGCCCUGACACCAGUGCUGCCCACUAGCCCCUGCUGCUACAUAGGCAUGCGCCUCCCCCAGUCUGGGCUCCUUGACCCCCGGGCACUGGGGAAGGGGAACAAGGAAGCAGUCCACACCAGCCCACUCCCAGGGCUCGUGCGCCCCCAGCAAGGGAUGGGCCACAGAAUCCAGGAAGAAGACGGGCUCCGGCCCCCAGUGGUCGCCAGCAGCCCCGUAGAAGCUCACCACCCCACCCCAUCCGACUCACUCCUGCUCUCAUGUACAUUUCCCAGCUCCCCACCCGGGCUCACCUUCAGACCAGCGGCAGCGCUCACCCACCACGCCUGCCAGGGAAGCUCAGUCCCAACAGAAUCCAGAGAGGGCCCACCACAUGUGCCUGCCUGUGACGGCCUGUGACAGGGCCCCAGCCAGGGCCAACGAGCUGGAGGGGCCCAAGGAGCUGGGUGCAGCGCUGGGGUAACAGGACAGCCCCACGGGGUGCUCCCGAGUCUGGACCAGACUCGGGGUGGGGAGGCC
Homo sapiens (human) is the source of this 1379-nucleotide RNA transcript. RefSeq lists it as uncharacterized. NCBI's taxonomy places the organism in Eukaryota, Metazoa, Chordata, Mammalia, Primates, Hominidae. The record is from RefSeq and is a predicted model, not a curated record. The transcript has 3 exons.